GCCUGCGUAGCUCAGUUGGUUGAGCAUCUGUCUUGGGAUCAGGUCAUGAUCUUGUGGUUCAUGGGUUCAAGCCCCAUGUCGAGCU
This 85-nucleotide transfer RNA is filed under the name Felis catus (domestic cat). It matches the Rfam family "tRNA". Rfam says of the family: Transfer RNA (tRNA) molecules are approximately 80 nucleotides in length. Their secondary structure includes four short double-helical elements and three loops (D, anti-codon, and T loops). Lineage: Eukaryota; Metazoa; Chordata; Mammalia; Carnivora; Felidae. RNAcentral also lists the same sequence under 2 other names. The record is from Rfam by way of RNAcentral.